This 370-nucleotide ribosomal RNA is filed under the name Neodilsea borealis. RNAcentral's name for it is "partial 23S ribosomal RNA". It matches the Rfam family "Bacterial large subunit ribosomal RNA", at positions 2098 to 2465 of the family's 2925-position model. Lineage: Eukaryota; Rhodophyta; Florideophyceae; Gigartinales; Dumontiaceae. The record is from RNAcentral.
GCUUUACUGUAGCUUGGAAAUGAAUUUGGGUUUACUUUGCGCAGUAUAGGUGGGAGGCUAAGAUAAUAAGCUUGAGGGUUUAUUGGAGCCAUCAGUGAGAUACCACUCUAAGUAAACUAGGAUUCUAACCUUGAUAGUCGUUAACCGGCCAAGGCACAGUUUCAGGUGGGCAGUUUGACUGGGGCGGUCGCCUCCUAAAAGGUAACGGAGGCGUGCAAAGGUUCCCUCAGGCUGGUCGGAAAUCAGUCGUAGAGUGUAAAGGCAUAAGGGAGCUUGACUGCAAGACCUACAAGUCGAGCAGAGACGAAAGUCGGCCUUAGUGAUCCGACAGUGCUGAGUGAAAAGGCUGUCGCUCAACGGAUAAAAGUUA